This 253-nucleotide ribosomal RNA is filed under the name uncultured bacterium. RNAcentral's name for it is "partial 16S ribosomal RNA". It matches the Rfam family "Bacterial small subunit ribosomal RNA", at positions 524 to 776 of the family's 1533-position model. The record is from RNAcentral.
UACGUAGGAGGCAAGCGUUGUCCGGAAUUACUGGGCGUAAAGCGCGUGUAGGUGGUGGGACAAGUCUGCUGUGAAAGUGCCUGGCUUAACCGGGCGAGGUCGGCGGAAACUGUCCGACUCGAGGACGGUAGAGGGGGGUGGAAUUCCCGGUGUAGUGGUGAAAUGCGUAGAGAUCGGGAGGAACACCUGUGGCGAAGGCGGCCCCCUGGGCCAAGACUGACGCUCAUGCACGAAAGCGUGGGGAGCAAACAGG